CCUACGGGAGGCAGCAGUGGGGGAUAUUGCACAAUGGGCGAAAGCCUGAUGCAGCAACGCCGCGUGGAGGAAGACGGUUUUCGGAGUGUAAACUUCUAUCAAUAGGGAAGAAGGAAAUGACGGUACCUAAAUAAGAAGCCCCGGCUAACUACGUGCCAGCAGCCGCGGUAAUACGUAGGGGGCAAGCGUUAUCCGGAAUUACUGGGUGUAAGGGGAGAGGAGGGGGCAAGGUAAGCGAUAUGUGAAAGCCUUAAGCUUAACUUGAGGAUUGCAUAACGAACUAUCUAGCUAGAGUACAGGAGAGGCAAGCGGAAUUCCUAGUGUAGCGGUGAAAUGCGUAGAUAUUAGGAAGAACACCAGUGGCGAAGGCGGCCUUCUGGACUGCAACUGACGUUGAGGCUCGAAAGCGUGGGGAGCGAACAGGAUUAGAUACCCCUGUAGUC
This 443-nucleotide ribosomal RNA is filed under the name uncultured bacterium. RNAcentral describes it as "partial 16S ribosomal RNA". It matches the Rfam family "Bacterial small subunit ribosomal RNA", at positions 338 to 795 of the family's 1533-position model. The record is from RNAcentral.